RNAcentral lists this ribosomal RNA (450 nucleotides) under uncultured bacterium. RNAcentral's name for it is "partial 16S ribosomal RNA". It matches the Rfam family "Bacterial small subunit ribosomal RNA", at positions 354 to 796 of the family's 1533-position model. The record is from RNAcentral.
GUGGGGAAUCUUCCACAAUGGACGAAAGUCUGAUGGAGCAACGCCGCGUGAGUGAAGAAGGGUUUCGGCUCGUAAAGCUCUGUUGUCGGGGACGAAUGUGCAGUAUUUGAAUAAAGUACUGCAAUGACGGUACCUGACGAGGAAGCCACGGCUAACUACGUGCCAGCAGCCGCGGUAAUACGUAGGUGGCAAGCGUUGUCCGGAAUUAUUGGGCGUAAAGGGAGCGCAGGCGGGAAGGUAAGUCGGUCUUAAAAGUGCGGGGCUCAACCCCGUGAUGGGAUCGAAACUAUCUUUCUUGAGUGCAGGAGAGGAAAGUGGAAUUCCUAGUGUAGCGGUGAAAUGCGUAGAUAUUAGGAGGAACACCAGUGGCGAAGGCGACUUUCUGGACGAAAACUGACGCUGAGGCGCGAAAGCCAGGGGAGCGAACGGGAUUAGAAACCCGUGUAGUCC